GACACACAGGUUCACAUUCUCACAACCAAAACGAACAUGGUGACAAUGGAACCACUGGAACUGAUGGGACAACAGAUGAAAAAAAACAUGAAAGGAGCCGACUUCCUGAUUUUACUCGACUGUCGAUCACGUGUCUGGGUUUGUCGAUCAUGCUCAUUCUCUCAUAUGCUGUCAUCACCCUCCUUCACAAACUGAAGAUACACAGGACUGUCUCUCAACAGGAUGUGGUAGAACACCAGCCCAAGGUCUCUGGUAUGCACGAGAAGAAAUUAGGCAGCUGGCACAGAAGCUACAACGAGAAGGUCAACUCUAUCUACAUGUGCAUGCCUGACAAAUUACCAGCACAGGGAGCAGGACAUGACCUUUGACCUAGAAGCUCUCUAUCUUUGUGCGUCCCAAAAGCCUCCACACUUGUACUUUUUGAUCACUUCAUAUAGUGUCUAAAUGUGUUUGCUAUAGCCUGUUAAUUGGAAUGCUGUAUAAGGUCCACCUUUUGGCAUCGCCUAUGUUCACCACACUGAGACUGUGCCAUAUAAAAACACCCUUUGGAUAAUUGUAGAGGAAUGCACACCUGACUGUAAGUCACUUUGGAUAAAUGCUGUGGAUAAAAGCGUAUGCUAAAUGGCAUAUAUUAUUAUUAUUAUUCUAUUACGAAACGCUCAUUACGUGGUCAUAUAAAGGUACAGGGCUCAUCAUGUAAUCAUAUAAACAAACAAUGCCUUAUACCUUACACACCAAGCCAUACUGCCCACUUAACAUGGAAGCCAGCAGCACCAAUGUUUUGGAGGAAACACCAUACAGCUGGCAACCGAAGUCAGCAUGCAUGCACCCGGCCACCACACUGGGCCAAUUGUGCCCUGCUUCAUGUGUCUCCCGGUCGUGGCUGGCUGUGACACAGCACGGUAUCAAACUCGGAUCUGUAGUGACGCCUCUAGCACUGCAGUGCAGUGCCUUAGACUGCUACACUACUCAGGAGGCACAUGCCAGUUACUUGACAAGACCUUUAAGAAAUAAAAAAUCUUUGGACAAAAAACAGUUAGAUUGUGAGCGGAAGGCCAACAUAAAACAUGAUUAUAAAUAAUACAAGGUAGGCUAAAUUGAUUCAUAGAACAUACACAAACCUGUCUCAGAGCAUUUCGUAUCAUUCUUUACGUAAAUCCGAUACACCACAUUUAGUAUGACAUGUUACGUUUCGUAUGGUGUGUUUUCAUUUGUGGAUGUCCAUCAUCCAA
This is a non-coding RNA of Oncorhynchus mykiss (rainbow trout), 1232 nucleotides long. Lineage: Eukaryota; Metazoa; Chordata; Actinopteri; Salmoniformes; Salmonidae. The record is from RefSeq and is a predicted model, not a curated record.